CCCUUAGAUGUUCUGGGCCGCACGCGCGCUACACUGAUGCAUUCAACGAGUCUAAAACCUGGUCUGAUAGGGCUGGGUAAUCUUUUGAAAGUGCAUCGUGAUUGGGAUAGAUGAUUGCAAUUCUUCAUCUUCAACGAGGAAUGCCUAGUAAACGCAAGUCAUCAGCUUGCAUUGAUUACGUCCCUGCCCUUUGUACACACCGCCCGUCGCUCCUACCGAUUGAAUGAUCCGAUGAAUACCAUGGAUUGAGAGUUCGAAUAGGUUCGCCUAUUUCAGCUUCCCGAGAAGUGGAGUAAAUCUUAUCAUUUAGAGGAAGGAGAAGUCGUAACA
Molecule: ribosomal RNA, 330 nt
Filed under: uncultured eukaryote
Lineage: Eukaryota
Description: partial 18S ribosomal RNA
Rfam family: Eukaryotic small subunit ribosomal RNA
Source: RNAcentral